UAUACAUAUUAUAAUAGAAAUGUUACAGAAACUAUGCAUUAGAAAUACAGCACAAAAGAUACAUUUUAUUUCAAAACGUGCAUUUUAAAGCUUGUUUUAUGAAAAACAUAAACAACUAGCACCUGUUAAUAUAGUAUUGUUGACGCCGUCUAGUGGCAACUGAUAGCAGUUGCGUCUCUACAGUGGCUAAAUUGUAACAAUAAGUGUUAUUACAACUAUCAAAACACAAGUGUUCAGUAAAUGCAUUAAUAAAUAAAUGUGUUCAUUAAAUGCAUCUUCCAAAUUUUGAAUGUGACUUAAAAAAUACCUACACAUUUUCACUGUGGUUGCACAACUUCACACGCAUUGCUGGAGCAUUUACCAAGUUCAGUUGCUUAAAAAGUCUUCAUCUGUAAGCCUUGUCUGCUUCAAUUAGUGGAGAGUGGCAUCAACCCCUUGUGAGGGAGUAAGGUGUCUAAGCUUUUGUCUGAGAGCAUGAAACCCAGACAGGGGCCAGAUAGGAAUUGGCUACAGAUUUGCACUGCUGAUUAGGACAGUCAAAGCCUGCUCAGCCCUGGACAGAGCUCAAGAUAUAGUGUCCAUGUGUUUACACUGUAAAGGAUUUUCUGUUACUGGCACCGCUAUCCACUUCAAUUCCCACAUUAAUUCCAUUAUGUUGGAACAUGGACAGUACAGAUAUGACAAAAGAGGACCGGACAGAGGGAGAUCGAGAUAAAGAGAGUGGGGGAGAGAUUUUGUCAGGAUAAAGUGACCUUACCAUCAAUGGAAACUGUUCCUGUGGAUGACAUCACAAUGUAAUAAGUGCCAACGUCACACUAAAGUUCCAGGAAGUGAGCCAUAUAUGACAUAAUGAUCACCUCCAGCUAUCAUCAGAGUACAAUCACAUGACACAAACAACCAUCACUCUGAACAGGACCUUCCAAGAGUCCUUCAUAGAACAUGUUUUCUUUUUUUAAA
Misgurnus anguillicaudatus (oriental weatherfish) is the source of this 957-nucleotide non-coding RNA. NCBI's taxonomy places the organism in Eukaryota, Metazoa, Chordata, Actinopteri, Cypriniformes, Cobitidae. The record is from RefSeq and is a predicted model, not a curated record.